CCUCAUACUAAGUCUUUCC
Molecule: microRNA, 19 nt
Filed under: Schistosoma japonicum
Lineage: Eukaryota; Metazoa; Platyhelminthes; Trematoda; Strigeidida; Schistosomatidae
Description: sja-miR-71b*
Source: RNAcentral